This 636-nucleotide long non-coding RNA is filed under the name Sus scrofa (pig). RNAcentral describes it as "lncRNA (ENSSSCG00060051671.1)". The record is from RNAcentral. Lineage: Eukaryota; Metazoa; Chordata; Mammalia; Artiodactyla; Suidae.
AUGUGUAUCCAAAUCACCUGGACCUCUUUUUUUAAUGCCGACUAUGUUUGGGUCUCUGGAAUACCUCAUAGAUGCUCAAAACCAGCAGCCUCAUGCAUUCCUCUCAAUGACUACCCCUCUAUCUGCCAAGGAACUUUCUGUCAAUGCCUCCAAUCCCCAGAGGAAAGACCACAUGAUCAAUCCUUUAUGAAGAAAUUCCAGCAUAAUCAGUCUGCAAAUACCAUUCUAAUAAGACAAAAAGGCAGCUGCAAUGAUUCAUUCCUCUGAGGCUGGAAAUGUUUGCAGAAUUCAACACUUGCAGAGAGAGAAUCCUGAGAGGAGGAAGAUAGAAUAUGCAACUCUAGCAGUUUUUGUGGCCUAGACUGGAAAAUAUCUCUGGCAACAUUUGGUGGCGAAAGAAGGCAUCACUAUAACAGCAGACCUUUCUUCUCAUUUUUGUCUAUGAAAUUAAAUCUGAGGCCUAAUUAGAAAAACAGUUGGAAUGGAAACUAGUCCUGCAACAGCUGGCAUGAUGUUUUGAAAGGGCUCUAGAAACAAGCAAGACAGGCUUCGAGUAAGCUAAUGGCUUUACACAUCAAAAAGGUGAGUGACCUACUUCCUAAUAAACCACCUGUUCAUGGGACGGUUGUAGAUAUU